UUUUAGCCCUGAUCGAAACGGCAUCCCACGCUUUUUUGCGUGGAUAUAGUGUAGAGCAGGAAUAGCU
Molecule: small RNA, 67 nt
Filed under: Flavobacterium degerlachei
Lineage: Bacteria; Pseudomonadati; Bacteroidota; Flavobacteriia; Flavobacteriales; Flavobacteriaceae
Description: Flavo-1 RNA
Rfam family: Flavo-1 RNA
Source: RNAcentral